AGUGAACGCUGGCGGUAGGCCUAACACAUGCAAGUCGAACGGCAGCACAGUAAGAGCUUGCUCUUACGGGUGGCGAGUGGCGGACGGGUGAGGAAUACAUCGGAAUCUACUUUUUCGUGGGGGAUAACGUAGGGAAACUUACGCUAAUACCGCAUACGACCUACGGGUGAAAGCAGGGGAUCAUCGGACCUUGCGCGAUUGAAUGAGCCGAUGUCGGAUUAGCUAGUUGGCGGGGUAAAGGCCCACCAAGGCGACGAUCCGUAGCUGGUCUGAGAGGAUGAUCAGCCACACUGGAACUGAGACACGGUCCAGACUCCUACGGGAGGCAGCAGUGGGGAAUAUUGGACCAUGGGCGCAAGCCUGAUCCAGCCAUACCGCGUGGGUGAAGAAGGCCUUCGGGUUGUAAAGCCCUUUUGUUGGGAAAGAAAAGCAGCAGGUUAAUACCCCGCUGUUCUGACGGUACCCAAAGAAUAAGCACCGGCUAACUUCGUG
RNAcentral lists this ribosomal RNA (492 nucleotides) under uncultured bacterium. Its description in RNAcentral is "partial 16S ribosomal RNA". It matches the Rfam family "Bacterial small subunit ribosomal RNA", at positions 29 to 507 of the family's 1533-position model. The record is from RNAcentral.